CUACGGGCGGCACCAGUGGGGAAUCUUAGACAAUGGGCGCAAGCCUGAUCUAGCCAUGCCGCGUGAGCGAUGAAGGCCUUAGGGUUGUAAAGCUCUUUCAGCUGGGAAGAUAAUGACUGUACCAGCAGAAGAAGCCCCGGCUAACUCCGUGCCAGCAGCCGCGGUAAUACGGAGGGGGCUAGCGUUGUUCGGAAUUACUGGGCGUAAAGCGCACGUAGGCGGACUGGAAAGUCAGGGGUGAAAUCCCGGGGCUCAACCCCGGAACUGCCUUUGAAACUCCCAGUCUUGAGGUCGAGAGAGGUGAGUGGAAUUCCGAGUGUAGAGGUGAAAUUCGUAGAUAUUCGGAGGAACACCAGUGGCGAAGGCGGCUCACUGGCUCGAUACUGACGCUGAGGUGCGAAAGCGUGGGGAGCAAACAGGAUUAGAUACCCCUGUAGUC
RNAcentral lists this ribosomal RNA (439 nucleotides) under uncultured bacterium. Its description in RNAcentral is "partial 16S ribosomal RNA". It matches the Rfam family "Bacterial small subunit ribosomal RNA", at positions 339 to 795 of the family's 1533-position model. The record is from RNAcentral.